This 426-nucleotide ribosomal RNA is filed under the name uncultured bacterium. Its description in RNAcentral is "bacterial SSU rRNA". It matches the Rfam family "Bacterial small subunit ribosomal RNA", at positions 356 to 773 of the family's 1533-position model. The record is from RNAcentral.
AGGGAAUCUUCCGCAAUGGACGAAAGUCUGACGGAGCAACGCCGCGUGAGUGAAGAAGGUCUUCGGAUCGUAAAACUCUGUUGUUAGGGAAGAACAAGUACCGUUCGAAUAGGGCAGCACCUUGACGGUACCUAACCAGAAAGCCACGGCUAACUACGUGCCAGCAGCCGCGGUAAUACGUAGGUGGCAAGCGUUGUCCGGAAUUAUUGGGCGUAAAGCGCGCGCAGGCGGUUUCUUAAGUCGGAUGUGAAAGCCCCCGGCUCAACCGGGGAGGGUCAUUGGAAACUGGGGAACUUGAGUGCAGAAGAGGAGAGUGGAAUUCCACGUGUAGCGGUGAAAUGCGUAGAGAUGUGGAGGAACACCAGUGGCGAAGGCGACUCUCUGGUCUGUAACUGACGCUGAGGCGCGAAAGCGUGGGGAGCGAAC